This 601-nucleotide ribosomal RNA is filed under the name uncultured Alphaproteobacteria bacterium. Its description in RNAcentral is "bacterial SSU rRNA". The stretch from base 4 to 463 matches the Rfam family "Bacterial small subunit ribosomal RNA", at positions 37 to 537 of the family's 1533-position model. The record is from RNAcentral. Lineage: Bacteria; Pseudomonadati; Pseudomonadota; Alphaproteobacteria.
ACGUGGCGGAGGCUACAAUGCUGUUGAACGCCCUUCGGGUGAGCGCAGGACGGGUAUAGUACGCGUGGGAACGUGCCCUUCUCUACGGAAUAGCCUCUGGAAACGGAGAGUAAUACCGUAUACGCCCUUUGGGGGAAAGAUAUAUCGGAGAAGGAUCGGACCGCGUUAGAUUACGUAGUUGGUGGGGUAACGGUCUACCAAGCCUACGAUCUAUAGCUGGUUAUAGAGGAUGAUCAGCAACACUGGGACUGAUACACGGCCCAUACUCCUACAGGGAGGCAAGCAGUGGGGAAUCUUAGACAAAUAGGGGGCAACCCUGAUCUAGACCAUGCCGCGUUGAAUGAUGAAGGCCUUAGGGUCGUCAAGCUCUUUCCGCCUGUGAAAGAUAAUGACAAAAGCAGAGUAAGAAAACCCGGCUAACUACCGGUGAACAACAAGCGCAGGAUAACACCGAGGGGGUUAAACUCGUUCGGAAAAACCGGGGACCGUAAAAGCGGCAGCAUCAGGCCGGAUAAGAAAAUGGAAGUGAAAUCCGGGGAUCAACGCCUGAAAUGUCUCAAAAUGGUAGUCAGAGAAGAAAAAAGGAGUGGAUUCCAAGUGU